RNAcentral lists this ribosomal RNA (465 nucleotides) under Vreelandella stevensii. Its description in RNAcentral is "partial 16S ribosomal RNA". It matches the Rfam family "Bacterial small subunit ribosomal RNA", at positions 338 to 795 of the family's 1533-position model. The record is from RNAcentral. Lineage: Bacteria; Pseudomonadati; Pseudomonadota; Gammaproteobacteria; Oceanospirillales; Halomonadaceae.
CCUACGGGGAGCUGCAGUGGGGAAUAUUGGACAAUGGGCGAAAGCCUGAUCCAGCCAUGCCGCGUGUGUGAAGAAGGCCUUCGGGUUGUAAAGCACUUUCAGUGGGAAAGAAAGCCUUGGGGCUAAUACCCUCGAGGAAGGACAUCACCCACAGAAGAAGCACCGGCUAACUCCGUGCCAGCAGCCGCGGUAAUACGGAGGGUGCGAGCGUUAAUCGGAAUUACUGGGCGUAAAGCGCGCGUAGGCGGUCUGAUAAGCCGGUUGUGAAAGCCCCGGGCUCAACCUGGGAACGGCAUCCGGAACUGUCAGGCUAGAGUGCAGGAGAGGAAGGUAGAAUUCCCGGUGUAGCGGUGAAAUGCGUAGAGAUCGGGAGGAAUACCAGUGGCGAAGGCGGCCUUCUGGACUGACACUGACGCUGAGGUGCGAAAGCGUGGGUAGCAAACAGGAUUAGAUACCCUUGUAGUC